UACGAAGGUGGCAAGCGUUAUUCGGAUUUACUGGGCGUACAGGGAGCGUAGGCGGUUCGGUAAGCCCUCUGUGAAAUCUUCAGGCUUAACCUGGAAAAGUCGGGGGGGACUGCUGGGCUAGAGGACGGGAGAGGAGCGCGGAAUUCCCGGUGUAGCGGUGAAAUGCGUAGAUAUCUGGAGGAACACCGGUGGCGAAGGCGGCAUCCUGGACCGAUAUUGACGCUGAGGCGCGAAAGCGUGGGGAGCAAACAGG
RNAcentral lists this ribosomal RNA (253 nucleotides) under uncultured bacterium. RNAcentral's name for it is "partial 16S ribosomal RNA". It matches the Rfam family "Bacterial small subunit ribosomal RNA", at positions 524 to 776 of the family's 1533-position model. The record is from RNAcentral.